UCAGCCACACUGGGACUGAGACACGGCCCAAACUCCUACGGGAGGCAGCAGUGGGGAAUAUUGCACAAUGGGCGCAAGCCUGAUGCAGCCAUGCCGCGUGUAUGAAGAAGGCCCUAGGGUUGUAAAGUACUUUCAGUCGGGAGGAAGGCGUUGUUGCUAAUAUCAACAACGAUUGACGUUACCGACAGAAGAAGCACCGGCUAACUCCGUGCCAGCAGCCGCGGUAAUACGGAGGGUGCAAGCGUUAAUCGGAAUUACUGGGCGUAAAGCGCACGCAGGCGGUUGAUUAAGUUAGAUAUGAAAUCCCCGGGCUUAACCUGGGAAUGGCAUCUAAAACUGGUCAGCUAUAGUCUUGUACAGGGGGGGUAUAAUUCCAUGUGUAUCGGUGAAAUGCGUAUAGAUGUGUGAGGAAUACCGGUGGCGAAAGCGGCCCCCUGGACAAAGACUGACGCUCAGGUGCGAAAGCGUGGGGAGCAAACAGGAUUAGAUACCCCUGGUAGUCCACGCUGUAAACGAUGUCUAUUUGAAGGUUGUUCCCUAUAGGACUGGCUUUCCGAGCUAACGCGUUAAAUCUACCGCCUGGGGGAGUACGGCCGCAAAGUUAAAACUCAAAUGAAUUUGACGGGGGCCCCGCACAAACCGGUGGAAGCAAGGUGGUUUUAAUUUCUAUGCAACGCGAAAAAACCUUACCUACUCUUGACAUCCCGAGAAAUUUAGCAAAAAAUUCUUUUGUUGCCUUCCGGAAACUAUGAAGACAGAUGCUGCCAUGGCCGUGGUCAGCUUCUGUUGUUGAAAAUGUUUGGGUUUAAGUCCCGCAA
This 818-nucleotide ribosomal RNA is filed under the name Providencia vermicola. RNAcentral describes it as "bacterial SSU rRNA". It matches the Rfam family "Bacterial small subunit ribosomal RNA", at positions 304 to 1092 of the family's 1533-position model. The record is from RNAcentral. Lineage: Bacteria; Pseudomonadati; Pseudomonadota; Gammaproteobacteria; Enterobacterales; Morganellaceae.